Molecule: ribosomal RNA, 301 nt
Filed under: uncultured bacterium
Lineage: Bacteria
Description: partial 16S ribosomal RNA
Rfam family: Bacterial small subunit ribosomal RNA
Source: RNAcentral
CAGCAGCCGCGGUAAUACGAAGGGGGCUAGCGUUGUUCGGAAUUACUGGGCGUAAAGCGCACGUAGGCGGAUUUUUAAGUCAGGGGUGAAAUCCCGAGGCUCAACCUCGGAACUGCCUUUGAUACUGGAGAUCUUGAGUUCGGAAGAGGUUGGUGGAACAGCUAGUGUAGAGGUGAAAUUCGUAGAUAUUAGCUAGAACACCAGUGGCGAAGGCGGCCAACUGGUCCGAUACUGACGCUGAGGUGCGAAAGCGUGGGGAGCAAACAGGAUUAGAUACCCCAGUAGUCCCUGUCUCUUAUAC